Molecule: ribosomal RNA, 253 nt
Filed under: uncultured bacterium
Lineage: Bacteria
Description: partial 16S ribosomal RNA
Rfam family: Bacterial small subunit ribosomal RNA
Source: RNAcentral
UACGUAGGGGGCUAGCGUUGUCCGGAAUCAUUGGGCGUAAAGCGCGUGUAGGCGGUCCGGUAAGUCCGCUGUGAAAGUCGAGGGCUCAACCCUCGAAUGCCGGUGGAUACUGUCGGGCUUGAGUACGGGAGAGGCGAGUGGAAUUCCUGGUGUAGCGGUGAAAUGCGCAGAUAUCAGGAGGAACACCGAUGGCGAAGGCAGGUCUCUGGGCAUUAACUGACGCUGAGGAGCGAAAGCAUGGGGAGCGAACAGG